RNAcentral lists this unclassified non-coding RNA (345 nucleotides) under soil metagenome. RNAcentral's name for it is "partial contains 5.8S ribosomal RNA, internal transcribed spacer 2, and large subunit ribosomal RNA". The stretch from base 1 to 121 matches the Rfam family "5.8S ribosomal RNA", at positions 35 to 154 of the family's 154-position model. The record is from RNAcentral.
GAUGAAGAACGUAGCGAAAUGCGAUAAGUAAUGCGAAUUGCAGAAUUUCCGUGAGUCAUCGAAUCUUUGAACGCACAUUGCGCCCACUGGUAUUCCGGUGGGCAUGCCUGUUCGAGCGUCAUUAUCCUCCCUCAAACCCCGGGUUUGGUGUUGGACCCAAGUUGUGUGAACAACUGGUCUCAAAGACAAUGACGGCGUCCGUGGGACCCUCGGUGCAACGAGCUUUUAGGAGCACGCAUCGAGUUGCAAGGACCUUCCGGGCCGGUCUCCUUUACCAUUUUACAAGGUUGACCUCGGAUCAGGUAGGAAUACCCGCUGAACUUAAGCAUAUCAAUAGGCGGAGGA